GACGAACGCUGGCGGCGUGCUUAACACAUGCAAGUCGAACGGAAAGGCCCUGCUUUUGUGGGGUGCUCGAGUGGCGAACGGGUGAGUAACACGUGAGUAACCUGCCCUUGACUUUGGGAUAACUUCAGGAAACUGGGGCUAAUACCGGAUAGGAGCUCCUGCUGCAUGGUGGGGGUUGGAAAGUUUCGGCGGUUGGGGAUGGACUCGCGGCUUAUCAGCUUGUUGGUGGGGUAGUGGCUUACCAAGGCUUUGACGGGUAGCCGGCCUGAGAGGGUGACCGGCCACAUUGGGACUGAGAUACGGCCCAGAAUCCUACGGGAGGCAGCAGUGGGGAAUAUUGCACAAUGGGCGGAAGCCUGAUGCAGCAACGCCGCGUGCGGGAUGACGGCCUUCGGGUUGUAAACCGCUUUCGCCUGUGACGAAGCGUGAGUGACGGUAAUGGGUAAAGAAACACCGGCUAACUACGUG
RNAcentral lists this ribosomal RNA (468 nucleotides) under uncultured bacterium. RNAcentral describes it as "partial 16S ribosomal RNA". It matches the Rfam family "Bacterial small subunit ribosomal RNA", at positions 28 to 507 of the family's 1533-position model. The record is from RNAcentral.